CGGGACACGUGGUAUCCUGUCUGAAUAUGGGGGGACCAUCCUCCAAGGCUAAAUACUCCUGACUGACCGAUAGUGAACCAGUACCGUGAGGGAAAGGCGAAAAGAACCCCGGCGAGGGGAGUGAAAAAGAACCUGAAACCGUGUACGUACAAGCAGUGGGAGCACGCUUAGGCGUGUGACUGCGUACCUUUUGUAUAAUGGGUCAGCGACUUAUAUUCUGUAGCAAGGUUAACCGAAUAGGGGAGCCGAAGGGAAACCGAGUCUUAACUGGGCGUUAAGUUGCAGGGUAUAGACCCGAAACCCGGUGAUCUAGCCAUGGGCAGGUUGAAGGUUGGGUAACACUAACUGGAGGACCGAACCGACUAAUGUUGAAAAAUUAGCGGAUGACUUGUGGCUGGGGGUGAAAGGCCAAUCAAACCGGGAGAUAGCUGGUUCUCCCCGAAAGCUAUUUAGGUAGCGCCUCGUGAAUUCAUCUCCGGGGGUAGAGCACUGUUUCGGCAAGGGGGUCAUCCCGACUUACCAACCCGAUGCAAACUGCGAAUACCGGAGAAUGUUAUCACGGGAGACACACGGCGGGUGCUAACGUCCGUCGUGAAGAGGGAAACAACCCAGACCGCCAGCUAAGGUCCCAAAGUCAUGGUUAAGUGGGAAACGAUGUGGGAAGGCCCAGACAGCCAGGAUGUUGGCUUAGAAGCAGCCAUCAUUUAAAGAAAGCGUAAUAGCUCACUGGUCGAGUCGGCCUGCGCGGAAGAUGUAACGGGGCUAAACCAUGCACCGAAGCUGCGGCAGCGACGCUUAUGCGUUGUUGGGUAGGGGAGCGUUCUGUAAGCCUGUGAAGGUGUACUGUGAGGUAUGCUGGAGGUAUCAGAAGUGCGAAUGCUGACAUAAGUAACGAUAAAGCGGGUGAAAAGCCCGCUCGCCGGAAGACCAAGGGUUCCUGUCCAACGUUAAUCGGGGCAGGGUGAGUCGACCCCUAAGGCGAGGCCGAAAGGCGUAGUCGAUGGGAAACAGGUUAAUAUUCCUGUACUUGGUGUUACUGCGAAGGGGGGACGGAGAAGGCUAUGUUGGCCGGGCGACGGUUGUCCCGGUUUAAGCGUGUAGGCUGGUUUUCCAGGCAAAUCCGGAAAAUCAAGGCUGAGGCGUGAUGACGAGGCACUACGGUGCUGAAGCAACAAAUGCCCUGCUUCCAGGAAAAGCCUCUAAGCAUCAGGUAACAUCAAAUCGUACCCCAAACCGACACAGGUGGUCAGGUAGAGAAUACCAAGGCGCUUGAGAGAACUCGGGUGAAGGAACUAGGCAAAAUGGUGCCGUAACUUCGGGAGAAGGCACGCUGAUAUGUAGGUGAAGUCCCUCGCGGAUGGAGCUGAAAUCAGUCGAAGAUACCAGCUGGCUGCAACUGUUUAUUAAAAACACAGCACUGUGCAAACACGAAAGUGGACGUAUACGGUGUGACGCCUGCCCGGUGCCGGAAGGUUAAUUGAUGGGGUCAGCGCAAGCGAAGCUCUUGAUCGAAGCCCCGGUAAACGGCGGCCGUAACUAUAACGGUCCUAAGGUAGCGAAAUUCCUUGUCGGGUAAGUUCCGACCUGCACGAAUGGCGUAAUGAUGGCCAGGCUGUCUCCACCCGAGACUCAGUGAAAUUGAACUCGCUGUGAAGAUGCAGUGUACCCGCGGCAAGACGGAAAGACCCCGUGAACCUUUACUAUAGCUUGACACUGAACAUUGAGCCUUGAUGUGUAGGAUAGGUGGGAGGCUUUGAAGUGUGGACGCCAGUCUGCAUGGAGCCGACCUUGAAAUACCACCCUU
RNAcentral lists this ribosomal RNA (1804 nucleotides) under Escherichia coli. Its description in RNAcentral is "partial 23S ribosomal RNA". It matches the Rfam family "Bacterial large subunit ribosomal RNA", at positions 418 to 2207 of the family's 2925-position model. The record is from RNAcentral. Lineage: Bacteria; Pseudomonadati; Pseudomonadota; Gammaproteobacteria; Enterobacterales; Enterobacteriaceae.